UCAAGAAACUUCCACAAUGGGCGAAAGCCUGAUGGAGCGACGUCGCGUGAUGGACGAAGUGCUUCGGCACGUAAACAUCUUUUAUGUGGGAUGAAAUUAUUGACAGUACCACAUGAAUAAGGGGCUCCUAACUCUGUGCCAGCAGGAGCGGUAAUACAGAGGCCCCAAGCGUUAUCCGGAAUCACUGGGCGUAAAGGGUGUCGAGGCGGUUGUAUUAGUCGUUCGUAAAAUCUACGAGCUUAACUUGUAGGCGGCGAACGAAACGGUACGACUUGAGGUUUGGAGAGGUGCGUGGAACUCACGGUGUAGGGGUGAAAUCCGUUGAUAUCGUGGGGAACACCAAAGGCGAAGGCAGCGCACUGGCCAAAAUCUGACGCUCACACACGAAAGCUAGGGUAGCGAAGAGGAUUAGAUACCCCUGUAGUCCCUGAGCGGGCUGGCAAGGCGCAU
This 450-nucleotide ribosomal RNA is filed under the name uncultured bacterium. Its description in RNAcentral is "bacterial SSU rRNA". It matches the Rfam family "Bacterial small subunit ribosomal RNA", at positions 355 to 825 of the family's 1533-position model. The record is from RNAcentral.